CAGGUAGGUGGUCUGUUAAGUCUUCUGUGAAAAUCCGGGGCUCAACCCCGUGAAAUGCAGGUGAAACUGGCAGACUUGAGACCGGUAGAGGCUAGCGGAAUUCCUGGUGUAGCGGUGGAAUGCGUAGAUAUCAGGAAGAACACCUGUGGCGAAGGCGGCUAGCUGGGCCGGUUCUGACACUGAACUGCGAAAGCGUGGGGAGCAAAC
This 207-nucleotide ribosomal RNA is filed under the name uncultured bacterium. Its description in RNAcentral is "partial 16S ribosomal RNA". It matches the Rfam family "Bacterial small subunit ribosomal RNA", at positions 568 to 773 of the family's 1533-position model. The record is from RNAcentral.